AUUUACACACCUGUGAAUUUCAACUUUUGCUUGCCUGGAGCAAUCCAGGCGACUUGAAAAACAACCAAAUUAAUUUUGUCUGAAAAAACUAAAAUUAAAAACUAUUAACAACGGAUCUCUUGGUUCUCGCAUCGAUGAAGACCGCAGCAAAGCGCGAUAGUUAAUGUGAAUUGCAGACGUGAAUCAUUGAGUUGUUGAACGCACAUUGCGCUUUUCCUUACGGAAAAGCAUACCUGUGCGAGCGUCAUUUCUCUCUCUAUCACUAGUUGAUAGGUAUUGGCACUCUUCUUAGUGCUUAAAACGAUUAUGUGUAUAUGUUAACCACAAUGUGCACUACAAACAUACAUUUUGACCUCGUAUCAGGUAAGAGUACCCGCUGAACUUAAGCAUAUCAAUAAGCGGAGG
Molecule: unclassified non-coding RNA, 405 nt
Filed under: Wickerhamiella sp. CLIB 1718
Lineage: Eukaryota; Fungi; Ascomycota; Dipodascomycetes; Dipodascales; Trichomonascaceae
Description: sequence contains ITS1, 5.8S rRNA gene and ITS2
Rfam family: 5.8S ribosomal RNA (bases 100-247)
Source: RNAcentral